CCUACGGGAGGCAGCAGUGGGGAAUUUUGGACAAUGGGCGCAAGCCUGAUCCAGCAAUGCCGCGUGAGUGAAGAAGGCCUUCGGGUUGUAAAGCUCUUUUGUCAGGGAAGAAACGGUGGGAGCUAAUAUCUCCUACUAAUGACGGUACCUGAAGAAUAAGCACCGGCUAACUACGUGCCAGCAGCCGCGGUAAUACGUAGGGUGCAAGCGUUAAUCGGAAUUACUGGGCGUAAAGCGUGCGCAGGCGGUUUUGUAAGUCUGUCGUGAAAGCCCCGGGCUCAACCUGGGAAUUGCGAUGGAGACUGCAAGGCUUGAAUCUGGCAGAGGGGGGUAGAAUUCCACGUGUAGCAGUGAAAUGCGUAGAGAUGUGGAGGAACACCGAUGGCGAAGGCAGCCCCCUGGGUCAAGAUUGACGCUCAUGCACGAAAGCGUGGGGAGCAAACAGGAUUAGAUACUCUGGUAGUCCACGCCCUAAACGAUGUCUACUAGUUGUCGGGUUUUAAUUAACUUGGUAACGCAGCUAACGCGUGAAGUAGACCGCCUGGGGAGUACGGUCGCAAGAUUAAAACUUAAAUGAAUUGACGG
This 585-nucleotide ribosomal RNA is filed under the name uncultured bacterium. Its description in RNAcentral is "bacterial SSU rRNA". It matches the Rfam family "Bacterial small subunit ribosomal RNA", at positions 338 to 916 of the family's 1533-position model. The record is from RNAcentral.